This 215-nucleotide ribosomal RNA is filed under the name Rickettsiales bacterium. RNAcentral describes it as "partial 23S ribosomal RNA". It matches the Rfam family "Bacterial large subunit ribosomal RNA", at positions 2700 to 2925 of the family's 2925-position model. Lineage: Bacteria; Pseudomonadati; Pseudomonadota; Alphaproteobacteria; Rickettsiales. The record is from RNAcentral.
GACAUACCUAUGGUGUAUCAGUUGUCUUGCCAAAGGCAUCGCUGAGUAGCUACGUAUGGAAGGGAUAACCGCUGAAAGCAUCUAAGUGGGAAGCCUACCUUAAGAUUAAUUUUCCCUAUCAGGGUCGUAGUAGACUACUACGUUGAUAGGUUGGAUGUGUAAGUGGAGCAAUCCAUUGAGCUAACCAAUACUAAUAACCCGAUUGAUUUCUUGUA